Molecule: microRNA precursor, 103 nt
Filed under: Marmota monax (woodchuck)
Lineage: Eukaryota; Metazoa; Chordata; Mammalia; Rodentia; Sciuridae
Source: RNAcentral
AGUGGGAUAACUGGGUCAAAUGGUGGUUUCAUUCCAAGUUUUCUAAGGAAUCUCCAUACUGCUUUCCAGAGUGGCUGCACCAAUUUGCAGACCCACCAGCAAU